RNAcentral lists this ribosomal RNA (425 nucleotides) under Alphomelon talidicida. RNAcentral describes it as "partial 16S large subunit ribosomal RNA". The record is from RNAcentral. Lineage: Eukaryota; Metazoa; Arthropoda; Insecta; Hymenoptera; Braconidae.
GUCUUAAAGAAUUUAAUUUUAAGUCAAAUCUGCUCAAUGAAUUAUUAUUUAAAUAGCUGCAGUAUCAAUAACUGUACAAAGGUAGCAUAAUAAUUUGUUUUUUAAUUUAAAACUAGAAUGAAUGAUUUUAUGAAAUAUAAACUGUCUCAAAUUAAUUAAAUAAAAUUAUUUUUUAAGUUAAAAAACUUAAAUUUUUUUUAAAGACGAAAAGACCCUAAGAAUUUUUAUAUUUAAUUUUUAUAUUUUUAUUUUAAUUAAAUAAAAAUUAAAUAAUUUAAUUGGGGAAAUUUUAAAAUUUAAUUAAUUUUUAAUUAAUAAAACAAUUAUUUUUGUAUAAUUAUAAGUUUUUAAAAAAAUAAAAUUAAAUUACCUUAGGGAUAACAGCAUAAUUUUUUUUUAAAGUUCAAAUUAAUAUUAAAGUUUAU